UGCCUACGGGGGGCAGCAGUGGGGAAUUUUGCGCAAUGGGCGAAAGCCUGACGCAGCAACGCCGCGUGAGGGAUGAAGGCCUUCGGGUCGUAAACCUCUGUCAGAGGGGAAGAACCGCCGUCGGGGUAAUAUCCCGGCGGUCUGACGGUACCCUCAAAGGAAGCACCGGCUAACUCCGUGCCAGCAGCCGCGGUAAUACGGAGGGUGCAAGCGUUGUUCGGCAUUAUUGGGCGUAAAGCGCGUGCAGGCGGCCGUUUAAGACUGAUGUGAAAGCCCCGGGCUAAACCUGGGAAGUGCAUCGGAUACUGGAUGGCUUGAGUACGGGAGAGGGAAGCGGAAUUCCGAGUGUAGGGGUGAAAUCCGUAGAUAUUCGGAGGAACACCAGUGGCGAAGGCGGCUUCCUGGACCGAUACUGACGCUGAGACGCGAAAGCGUGGGGAGCAAACAGGAUUAGAUACCCGAGUAGUC
This 468-nucleotide ribosomal RNA is filed under the name uncultured Desulfuromonadales bacterium. RNAcentral describes it as "bacterial SSU rRNA". It matches the Rfam family "Bacterial small subunit ribosomal RNA", at positions 335 to 795 of the family's 1533-position model. Lineage: Bacteria; Pseudomonadati; Thermodesulfobacteriota; Desulfuromonadia; Desulfuromonadales. The record is from RNAcentral.